This 378-nucleotide ribosomal RNA is filed under the name uncultured eukaryote. RNAcentral describes it as "partial 18S ribosomal RNA". It matches the Rfam family "Eukaryotic small subunit ribosomal RNA", at positions 592 to 976 of the family's 1831-position model. The record is from RNAcentral.
CAAUAGCGUAUAUUUAAGUUGUUGCAGUUAAAAAGCUCGUAGUUGGAUUUCGGGUGGGACGCAGCGGUCUCGCAUUGCGUUUGUACUGCUGCAGCCCUCCUUCUUGCCGGGGGCGGCCUCUCGGACUUCACUGUCUGGGGGUCAGAAUCGGCGAUGUUACUUUGAGUAAAUUAGAGUGUUCAAAGCAAGCUUACGCUCUGAAUAUAAUAGCAUGGGAUAACACGACAGGACUCUGGCCUAUCGAGUUGGUCUAUAGGACCAGAGUAAUGAUUAAGAGGGACAGUCGGGGGCAUUCGUAUUCCGUUGUCAGAGGUGAAAUUCUUGGAUUUACGGAAGACGAACAUCUGCGAAAGCAUUUGCCAAGGAUGCUUUCAUUGA